GAGGGUAUAGCUCAGUUGUAGAGCGUGUGUUUAACAUGCAUGAGGUCCUGGAUUCAAUCUCCAGUACCUCCG
Molecule: transfer RNA, 72 nt
Filed under: Camelus bactrianus (Bactrian camel)
Lineage: Eukaryota; Metazoa; Chordata; Mammalia; Artiodactyla; Camelidae
Also listed under: 1 other name
Rfam family: tRNA
About the family: Transfer RNA (tRNA) molecules are approximately 80 nucleotides in length. Their secondary structure includes four short double-helical elements and three loops (D, anti-codon, and T loops). Further hydrogen bonds mediate the characteristic L-shaped molecular structure. tRNAs have two regions of fundamental functional importance: the anti-codon, which is responsible for specific mRNA codon recognition, and the 3' end, to which the tRNAs corresponding amino acid is attached (by aminoacyl-tRNA synthetases). tRNAs cope with the degeneracy of the genetic code in two manners: having more than one tRNA (with a specific anti-codon) for a particular amino acid; and 'wobble' base-pairing, i.e. permitting non-standard base-pairing at the 3rd anti-codon position.
Source: Rfam by way of RNAcentral